This is a long non-coding RNA of Lontra canadensis (Northern American river otter), 1486 nucleotides long. RefSeq lists it as uncharacterized. The record is from RefSeq and is a predicted model, not a curated record. The transcript is spliced from 3 exons. Lineage: Eukaryota; Metazoa; Chordata; Mammalia; Carnivora; Mustelidae.
UCAGCCUCUGUCCCAGGUGAGGAGAAACCAUCCUUAUUUAGGACUGAGGGAUAGCAGAGGCCGGGCUCCCCUGGCAAAGGUGGGGGUCUGGAGGCAGUGGAGGGCCCAGGGACUCAGGACCAACCCCUUAGGGCAGCGUUGGGAGGCGGAGCACAGCUCUUCUGGAACCUUCUCCAGUCCUGAAUCCUGGGGCCUCCAUCUACCUGGGGCUAAGACCUCCCCCUACCUCAUCCCCUCAACCCGCCCGAUCCGGGUCCCCCCAUUCCAGGCUCGGAGCCACCAGGUGGCAAGCAGAAGCUUCCAGAUAAAGCCAUUCAAGAUGAGGCAGCAGCAGAAGCAGGUGAGAGAAGAUGGCAGGCCUUGCAGAAGCAGGGGAGAGAGGAGUGAGACCAGAGAACCAAAGAACCAGCAGGAGAGGACCCGGAGGAAGAGCAAAGCCAGAGCUAGCUCCGUCCUGGAGAGGGACGUGUGUGUCUGGGCGGGAGCGGGUGCAGAUGGUUGGAUCUUAAGUGUGUUCUGAACAAAGACCAACCAGACCCUCCAUCUUCUUGAAGCCCCAAGACCCCGCAUUCAUCCAUUAUUAAUGAGGGAGCUGCCUCUCUGUGGGCCACACAGAACAUUUUCCGGAUUCUUCCGGAAAGAAGAAGGUGAUGGAAACACCCAGAACACUCCCGGGAAGCAUCUGCAGUCAGAGAAUCACAGACGUGAUUCACAUUCAUUCACCGAUGUCAUGCAUGGGGAAACUGAGUCAGAGGGGGGCAGUGUCUUGUCUGAGCCCCCCACCUUGCCUGGGUUAGAGGUGUUUCAGGCACAAGUCUCUGCCCCACAUCUGGAAUCAGGAGUCUGGAUCUCUUGGAGGGCUCUUGCCCCAUCUCUGGGCUUGACCCAUCACUCCGUAAGCACAGAGAUCCUCGAGAAGUUGGAUGUGGCCAAGUAACAACUCCCCUCUCCCACUUACUCCAAAGAGAAAAUGAGACAAGGAGUGAGCAAGAACUACAGGGUCUAAAUAUACAUCAGGCUUUUUUUUUUUUUUCUUCUGUAUUUUUGAUGUUCUGACAUCUAGCCACCCUGCCGGUCUUGGAGAGACUGCCCUGCCCAGGACUGGCUAAUUCCUAGACACAGCAAACCAGUAGGAGUGUGCCUUUCAGAUGCAAACCAGCCAACCCAGUGCCUAUACCCACCUACCUCUCACUCAUGCCAUCCUGCCCAAUGUUCUCUCUGCCUUAAAUUGCCCCCAAGACAACGAGGGACCCCCUGUAGACUCCCAGCUCCCAGCUUCAAAGGAACCAACCCUUAACUCAAACUCGACUACCCAGCCUUGCUCAUUCUUUUCUGUGGAGACCACAAUAAAGGCUCUGGCCCAUGCUUUGCCCCUCUCGCCCUCUGCCUCCGGACCCACUCUGAUGCUUCCCCAUGUUGCCAAGCAUGGUGGGGCGUGCCCCCUCCCUUUGGGAACUGUGAGUAAUAAACUCUUCUUUCAAAGGCA